Molecule: ribosomal RNA, 2801 nt
Filed under: Escherichia coli
Lineage: Bacteria; Pseudomonadati; Pseudomonadota; Gammaproteobacteria; Enterobacterales; Enterobacteriaceae
Description: partial 23S ribosomal RNA
Rfam family: Bacterial large subunit ribosomal RNA
Source: RNAcentral
GGGUUGUGAGGUUAAGCGACUAAGCGUACACGGUGGAUGCCCUGGCAGUCAGAGGCGAUGAAGGACGUGCUAAUCUGCGAUAAGCGUCGGUAAGGUGAUAUGAACCGUUAUAACCGGCGAUUUCCGAAUGGGGAAACCCAGUGUGUUUCGACACACUAUCAUUAACUGAAUCCAUAGGUUAAUGAGGCGAACCGGGGGAACUGAAACAUCUAAGUACCCCGAGGAAAAGAAAUCAACCGAGAUUCCCCCAGUAGCGGCGAGCGAACGGGGAGCAGCCCAGAGCCUGAAUCAGUGUGUGUGUUAGUGGAAGCGUCUGGAAAGGCGCGCGAUACAGGGUGACAGCCCCGUACACAAAAAUGCACAUGCUGUGAGCUCGAUGAGUAGGGCGGGACACGUGGUAUCCUGUCUGAAUAUGGGGGGACCAUCCUCCAAGGCUAAAUACUCCUGACUGACCGAUAGUGAACCAGUACCGUGAGGGAAAGGCGAAAAGAACCCCGGCGAGGGGAGUGAAAAAGAACCUGAAACCGUGUACGUACAAGCAGUGGGAGCACGCUUAGGCGUGUGACUGCGUACCUUUUGUAUAAUGGGUCAGCGACUUAUAUUCUGUAGCAAGGUUAACCGAAUAGGGGAGCCGAAGGGAAACCGAGUCUUAACUGGGCGUUAAGUUGCAGGGUAUAGACCCGAAACCCGGUGAUCUAGCCAUGGGCAGGUUGAAGGUUGGGUAACACUAACUGGAGGACCGAACCGACUAAUGUUGAAAAAUUAGCGGAUGACUUGUGGCUGGGGGUGAAAGGCCAAUCAAACCGGGAGAUAGCUGGUUCUCCCCGAAAGCUAUUUAGGUAGCGCCUCGUGAAUUCAUCUCCGGGGGUAGAGCACUGUUUCGGCAAGGGGGUCAUCCCGACUUACCAACCCGAUGCAAACUGCGAAUACCGGAGAAUGUUAUCACGGGAGACACACGGCGGGUGCUAACGUCCGUCGUGAAGAGGGAAACAACCCAGACCGCCAGCUAAGGUCCCAAAGUCAUGGUUAAGUGGGAAACGAUGUGGGAAGGCCCAGACAGCCAGGAUGUUGGCUUAGAAGCAGCCAUCAUUUAAAGAAAGCGUAAUAGCUCACUGGUCGAGUCGGCCUGCGCGGAAGAUGUAACGGGGCUAAACCAUGCACCGAAGCUGCGGCAGCGACGCUGAUGCGUUGUUGGGUAGGGGAGCGUUCUGUAAGCCUGCGAAGGUGUGCUGUGAGGCAUGCUGGAGGUAUCAGAAGUGCGAAUGCUGACAUAAGUAACGAUAAAGCGGGUGAAAAGCCCGCUCGCCGGAAGACCAAGGGUUCCUGUCCAACGUUAAUCGGGGCAGGGUGAGUCGACCCCUAAGGCGAGGCCGAAAGGCGUAGUCGAUGGGAAACAGGUUAAUAUUCCUGUACUUGGUGUUACUGCGAAGGGGGGACGGAGAAGGCUAUGUUGGCCGGGCGACGGUUGUCCCGGUUUAAGCGUGUAGGCUGGUUUUCCAGGCAAAUCCGGAAAAUCAAGGCUGAGGCGUGAUGACGAGGCACUACGGUGCUGAAGCAACAAAUGCCCUGCUUCCAGGAAAAGCCUCUAAGCAUCAGGUAACAUCAAAUCGUACCCCAAACCGACACAGGUGGUCAGGUAGAGAAUACCAAGGCGCUUGAGAGAACUCGGGUGAAGGAACUAGGCAAAAUGGUGCCGUAACUUCGGGAGAAGGCACGCUGAUAUGUAGGUGAAGUCCCUCGCGGAUGGAGCUGAAAUCAGUCGAAGAUACCAGCUGGCUGCAACUGUUUAUUAAAAACACAGCACUGUGCAAACACGAAAGUGGACGUAUACGGUGUGACGCCUGCCCGGUGCCGGAAGGUUAAUUGAUGGGGUUAGCGCAAGCGAAGCUCUUGAUCGAAGCCCCGGUAAACGGCGGCCGUAACUAUAACGGUCCUAAGGUAGCGAAAUUCCUUGUCGGGUAAGUUCCGACCUGCACGAAUGGCGUAAUGAUGGCCAGGCUGUCUCCACCCGAGACUCAGUGAAAUUGAACUCGCUGUGAAGAUGCAGUGUACCCGCGGCAAGACGGAAAGACCCCGUGAACCUUUACUAUAGCUUGACACUGAACAUUGAGCCUUGAUGUGUAGGAUAGGUGGGAGGCUUUGAAGUGUGGACGCCAGUCUGCAUGGAGCCGACCUUGAAAUACCACCCUUUAAUGUUUGAUGUUCUAACGUUGACCCGUAAUCCGGGUUGCGGACAGUGUCUGGUGGGUAGUUUGACUGGGGCGGUCUCCUCCUAAAGAGUAACGGAGGAGCACGAAGGUUGGCUAAUCCUGGUCGGACAUCAGGAGGUUAGUGCAAUGGCAUAAGCCAGCUUGACUGCGAGCGUGACGGCGCGAGCAGGUGCGAAAGCAGGUCAUAGUGAUCCGGUGGUUCUGAAUGGAAGGGCCAUCGCUCAACGGAUAAAAGGUACUCCGGGGAUAACAGGCUGAUACCGCCCAAGAGUUCAUAUCGACGGCGGUGUUUGGCACCUCGAUGUCGGCUCAUCACAUCCUGGGGCUGAAGUAGGUCCCAAGGGUAUGGCUGUUCGCCAUUUAAAGUGGUACGCGAGCUGGGUUUAGAACGUCGUGAGACAGUUCGGUCCCUAUCUGCCGUGGGCGCUGGAGAACUGAGGGGGGCUGCUCCUAGUACGAGAGGACCGGAGUGGACGCAUCACUGGUGUUCGGGUUGUCAUGCCAAUGGCACUGCCCGGUAGCUAAAUGCGGAAGAGAUAAGUGCUGAAAGCAUCUAAGCACGAAACUUGCCCCGAGAUGAGUUCUCCCUGA